CACUGGGUAGCUCAGUUGGCAGAGCAGAAUUGGACUAGUAUUCCAAAGGUCGUAUAACUUCGAUUCCCACCGUGG
This 75-nucleotide transfer RNA is filed under the name Paramuricea clavata. RNAcentral describes it as "tRNA-Thr". The record is from RNAcentral. Lineage: Eukaryota; Metazoa; Cnidaria; Anthozoa; Malacalcyonacea; Plexauridae.